UAAGGAAUACUGGUCAAUGGACGCAAGUCUGAACCAGCCAUGCCGCGUGCAGGAUGACGGCCCUACGGGUUGUAAACUGCUUUUGUACGGGAAAAAACCCUCCGGUCGUGAAUCGGAGCUGAUGGUACCGUAAGAAUAAGCAUCGGCUAACUCCGUGCCAGCAGCCGCGGUAAUACGGAGGAUGCAAGCGUUAUCCGGAUUCAUUGGGUUUAAAGGGUGCGCAGGCGGAAUGAUAAGUCAGUGGUGAAAUCUCUCGGCUCAACUGAGAAACUGCCAUUGAUACUGUUGUUCUUGAGUACACUUGAAGUGGGCGGAAUGUGUCAUGUAGCGGUGAAAUGCUUAGAUAUGACACAGAACACCGAUCGCGAAGGCAGCUCACUAAAUUGUAACUGACGCUCAG
This 400-nucleotide ribosomal RNA is filed under the name uncultured bacterium. RNAcentral describes it as "bacterial SSU rRNA". It matches the Rfam family "Bacterial small subunit ribosomal RNA", at positions 355 to 750 of the family's 1533-position model. The record is from RNAcentral.